This 255-nucleotide ribosomal RNA is filed under the name uncultured crenarchaeote. RNAcentral's name for it is "partial 16S ribosomal RNA". It matches the Rfam family "Archaeal small subunit ribosomal RNA", at positions 542 to 798 of the family's 1478-position model. The record is from RNAcentral. Lineage: Archaea; Thermoproteati; Thermoproteota.
CGGUUAAAUCUGUAUGCUCAACAUACAGGCUGCCGGGAAUACUGCAGAGCUAGGGAGUGGGAGAGGUAGACGGUACUCGGUAGGAAGGGGUAAAAUCCUUUGAUCUAUUGAUGACCACCUGUGGCGAAGGCGGUCUACCAGAACACGUCCGACGGUGAGGGAUGAAAGCUGGGGGAGCAAACCGGAUUAGAUACCCGGGUAGUCCCAGCUGUAAACUAUGCAAAUCAGUGAUGCAUUGGCUUGUGGCCAAUGCAA